This 80-nucleotide small RNA is filed under the name Methylobacterium organophilum. RNAcentral's name for it is "suhB". It matches the Rfam family "Makes More Granules Regulator RNA (mmgR)". From Rfam's summary of the family: SuhB later renamed mmgR (makes more granules regulator) was a putative non-coding RNA found multiple times in the Agrobacterium tumefaciens genome and related alpha-proteobacteria. Other non-coding RNAs uncovered in the same analysis include: speF, ybhL, metA, and serC. Lineage: Bacteria; Pseudomonadati; Pseudomonadota; Alphaproteobacteria; Hyphomicrobiales; Methylobacteriaceae. The record is from RNAcentral.
UGUCUCCGCCCAUGGCGGGCGUUUCCUCCCUUCGACUUGAGGCCCUGUCCGAUCCCGGACGGGGCCUUCUUAUGUCCGGC